Molecule: ribosomal RNA, 253 nt
Filed under: uncultured bacterium
Lineage: Bacteria
Description: partial 16S ribosomal RNA
Rfam family: Bacterial small subunit ribosomal RNA
Source: RNAcentral
UACGUAGGGUGCAAGCGUUAAUCGGAAUUACUGGGCGUAAAGCGUGCGCAGGCGGUUUUGUAAGUCUGUCGUGAAAGCCCCCGGCUCAACUGGGGAGGGUCACGCGAUACUGAUCGACUCGAAGGCAGGAGAGGGUAGUGGAAUUCCCGGUGUAGUGGUGAAGUGCGUAGAUAUCGGGAGGAACACCAGUGGCGAAGGCGGGUCUCUGGGCCGAUACUGACGCUGAGGAGCGAAAGCGUGGGGAGCGAACAGG